Micropterus dolomieu (smallmouth bass) is the source of this 704-nucleotide long non-coding RNA. RefSeq lists it as uncharacterized. The record is from RefSeq and is a predicted model, not a curated record. The transcript is spliced from 3 exons. Lineage: Eukaryota; Metazoa; Chordata; Actinopteri; Centrarchiformes; Centrarchidae.
AUCACAUUUACAGGAAGCCAGAUACUGGCUGAUAACGUAUGUGUUGCUGUUGCAGUGCCAGUUUUUUUUCUUUUGCUUUGUUCCAGAGCCUUUUCUUUAACUUACCAACACCAGUCAGAUAAGGGCUGAUGGCCCUCCACACUCCCACACUGCCUUUCCUGAGACGCUGGCCAAUGGCAAACUCCAGCAGCAGGAGAGGCAUUCCUUCCAGCACCAGCAGGAUCAGGUAGGGAAUCAAAAAGGCACCUGGAAAAUGCACAGGACAAAGAGAGGCAUUCUCAUCUCCUUGGGUGCAAAGUGCGGAUUGAUUGAGCUCCACACUCCCACACUACCCUUCCUCAGGCGCUGACCGAUUGCAAACUCCAGGUGCAGCAGUGGGAUUCCCUCCAGGACCACCAGGAUAAGGAAUGGGAUCAUAAACGCUCCUAGGAACAUUCACAUUAUAAAAAUGGGUUAACAAUAUGGUCAGUGAUUGACUUUAAUCAGCACUUUAAUGAAGGUAAGGGAACCUCCAGACAUUGCCAAGACCCACACAGAAGCCCACACAGGUGAGCAGAUACUGGGCUUUGUUGUCCCAUUUGGGCCUGUCCCCUGCCUCCUCCUUCUCCAUCCUCUCCAAGUCCCCAUGAGAAGGGAUCCGGUCAUCUAGAUGUGGGUUUGGUAACUUCAGCUUCAUGAUGGCUUCUUGUAGACUUUACUGGUCC